AAAUUGAAGAGUUUGAUCAUGGCUCAGAUUGAACGCUGGCGGCAGGCCUAACACAUGCAAGUCGAACGGUAACAGGAAGCAGCUUGCUGUUUCGCUGACGAGUGGCGGACGGGUGAGUAAUGUCUGGGAAACUGCCUGAUGGAGGGGGAUAACUACUGGAAACGGUAGCUAAUACCGCAUAACGUCGCAAG
This 191-nucleotide ribosomal RNA is filed under the name Escherichia coli. Its description in RNAcentral is "partial 16S ribosomal RNA". It matches the Rfam family "Bacterial small subunit ribosomal RNA", at positions 1 to 185 of the family's 1533-position model. The record is from RNAcentral. Lineage: Bacteria; Pseudomonadati; Pseudomonadota; Gammaproteobacteria; Enterobacterales; Enterobacteriaceae.